Molecule: long non-coding RNA, 1571 nt
Organism: Cygnus atratus (black swan)
Lineage: Eukaryota; Metazoa; Chordata; Aves; Anseriformes; Anatidae
Exons: 4
Source: RefSeq, a predicted model, not a curated record
AGUAUUUGUCCACUGGAAACUGUUUUUAAGGUCUGACCUAACUGUAAAGAGGCCAUCCAAAAACUAUCAGAUGAUAACUUUCUGUCAUGACUUAUAUGGUGACAAGAUAUAGCCCAUAUCCCACGAGUUACUCAUUUCCUACAGGAAAUUCAUCUUCGCUACUAUCAUCUAACAGAAUUGCAAACACCUAUUCUGCACUGAAGUAUUUGUCUGCUUUUUCUUGUUUCAGUCUAGCAAGCAUAUUUCCCCUGAAUUGUCAGUAUCUUUAGAGUGAAAUGAGAGGUAAAGGUUCUGUGCUUUGAGAAAGUCAAAGGGAAGUUCAAUGUCUACUGCAAAAGCAAAUCUCCUUGUGACAAUGUGCAAACUGAUGGGUUUCUGUAGCUGUCUCCAUCAAGGAAAAUAAAAAGAAAGACAAAUUGAUUAGUAUUUACAGAGCAUUCAGCUAAUCUUACUACUUGACUUGCAAGAAACUCAGUGACAUGUUUUGGGUUUGUUUUUUAAUCCUCAGUAUGUGGAUGUUCUUUCUCACAGGGUAAAUAACAUCACAACUAUGUUUACACUGUAAUGGAAUGAAAAGUCCUUCGGACCAGAUGUAAGCACACCAUAUUCUGCACCUCCCCUCCCCAGGCCCUAUCUGCCCCAGAUAUAUUAUGGCAGCACGGACUGCCAGCAGAAUGCUUGUGAGCAUUUCUGUGCUAGUGUGCUGAACCACCAAGCUCACUCAGGUACCCAGGUGCCAUGAAGCUCUCAAGAAAAGGCUGUGCGCCCACAUCUGUGGUCAGUCCUGUAUGCUUGCAGUACAAAAUAAAAUACAGCUCUUCAAAUAUAAGCGUAAGUAAUGAGAAUACAACAGCAACAACAACAACAGGCCUCUGAACUCAGCUGGAGACGGAGGCUGCUUCCUCCCCAUCAAGACGAUUGUGUUGAUCAACAUGUCUUUCUGUGAGGCAGCUGCUUUCGACUUCUGCUAAGCUGUGCACUCAGUGUGGGACGUGGAAGAGAGGAACUACGGGUGCUGGGACGGGAGUCUGGAGACAGGAAAUAUCGUAGCUGAUAUUCUGGUGGGGACGGAGCUAAGGAAGGAAACUGCAACAACUGAUUUGUGACUCACUGACACUGUGCAUUUUUCUUGGCCUGUGAAAGUCUGAUGAUCUCUGUCUUUUGGUCGUCUUCCACAUACUCUCACUGCUGUCUAAGCUUUCCCAUGUGUCAAAGGAUCCAGAUGCUUCUCUUCCACUGUCUUCCAAUUUGACUGAGCUACCCCUGUGGUUAAAAGGCACAGGACACAAGAAGAAAAGCGUACAUUUCCAGAUUCACCCAGAACAGCCACCAUAACUGCUAUCUUCACACAAUGAGGAAGAAAAACAAUCAAGAGAUGCAAGAAAGGUAUCAUCUAAUGAAAGACAUACCCACUUCUCUCAAAGCACAAGAGGUCUUGGCACUGACAGUUGUUUCCAAUGUCUAAACCUAAGUCCUUAUUUCAGAAUGAUACAGUUUCGCAGACGAGACCAGGACUACAUUUGAUUUAUUGAGUGAUUCUCUUCUGUUUCCUUUUAAAGAUAAAGAAUGUG